This 632-nucleotide ribosomal RNA is filed under the name Pouzarella setiformis. Its description in RNAcentral is "LSU rRNA". It matches the Rfam family "Eukaryotic large subunit ribosomal RNA", at positions 47 to 658 of the family's 3401-position model. Lineage: Eukaryota; Fungi; Basidiomycota; Agaricomycetes; Agaricales; Entolomataceae. The record is from RNAcentral.
UAAGCGGAGGAAAAGAAACUAACAAGGAUUCCCCUAGUAACUGCGAGUGAAGCGGGAAGAGCUCAAAUUUUAAAUCUGGCAGUUUCAAACUGUCUGAAUUGUAAUCUAGAGAAGCAUUAUCCGUACCAGACCGUGUACAAGUCUUCUGGAACGAAGCGUCACAGAGGGUGAUAAUCCCGUAUCUGACAUGGACUACUGGUGCUUUGUGAUGUGCUCUCGAAGAGUCGAGUUGUUUGGGAAUGCAGCUCUAAAUGGGUGGUAAAUUCCAUCUAAAGCUAAAUAUUGGCGAGAGACCGAUAGCGAACAAGUACCGUGAGGGAAAGAUGAAAAGAACUUUGGAAAGAGAGUUAAACAGUACGUGAAAUUGUUGAAAGGGAAACGCUUGAAGCCAGUCACAUUGAUCAGAAAUCAACCUUGCUUUUCAAGCUUGGUGCAUUUUCUGAUUCAAUGGGUCAGCAUCAAUUUUGAUCAACAGAGAAAGUUUGAAAGAAUGUAGCAUCUUUUAGAUGUGUUAUAGAUUUCAAUUGUAUGUGUUGGUUAAGAUUGAGGAUUUCAGCAUGCCGCAAGGCCGGAUUUCGAUCACGCUCAUGCUUGGGAUGCUGGCAUAAUGGCUUUAAUCGACCCGUCUUGAA